Molecule: ribosomal RNA, 406 nt
Filed under: uncultured bacterium
Lineage: Bacteria
Description: bacterial SSU rRNA
Rfam family: Bacterial small subunit ribosomal RNA
Source: RNAcentral
CAGCAGCCGCGGUAAUACGGAGGAUGCAAGCGUUAUCCGGAUUUAUUGGGUUUAAAGGGUGCGUAGGCGGUUUGAUAAGUCAGCGGUGAAAUAUUUCAGCUUAACUGAAAGGGUGCCGUUGAUACUGUCAGGCUUGAAUAUGGUUGCUGUGGGUGGAAUGUGUGGUGUAGCGGUGAAAUGCUUAGAUAUUACACAGAACACCGAUUGCGAAGGCAGCUUACUAAGAUACAACUGACGCUGAGGCACGAAAGUGUGGGGAUCAAACAGGAUUAGAUACCCUGGUAGUCCACACUGUAAACGAUGAUAACUGGAUGUUGGUCUGUACAGAUCAGCGUCUGAUGCGAAAGCAUUAAGUUAUCCACCUGGGGAGUACGUCGGCAACGAUGAAACUCAAAGGAAUUGACGG